Molecule: ribosomal RNA, 497 nt
Filed under: uncultured bacterium
Lineage: Bacteria
Description: partial 16S ribosomal RNA
Rfam family: Bacterial small subunit ribosomal RNA
Source: RNAcentral
GACGAACGCUGGCGGCGUGCCUAAUACAUGCAAGUAGAACGCUGAAGCGAGGAGCUUGCUCUUCUUGGAUGAGUUGCGAACGGGUGAGUAACGCGUAGGUAACCUGCCUUGUAGCGGGGGAUAACUAUUGGAAACGAUAGCUAAUACCGCAUAACAAUGGAUGACACAUGUCAUUUAUUUGAAAGGGGCAAUUGCUCCACUACAAGAUGGACCUGCGUUGUAUUAGCUAGUAGGUGAGGUAAUGGCUCACCUAGGCGACGAUACAUAGCCGACCUGAGAGGGUGAGCGGCCACACUGGGACUGAGACACGGCCCAGACUCCUACGGGAGGCAGCAGUAGGGAAUCUUCGGCAAUGGGGGCAACCCUGACCGAGCAACGCCGCGUGAGUGAAGAAGGUUUUCGGAUCGUAAAGCUCUGUUGUAAGUCAAGAACGGGUGUGAGAGUGGAAAGUUCACACUGUGACGGUAGCUUACCAGAAAGGGACGGCUAACUACGUG